Molecule: ribosomal RNA, 450 nt
Filed under: uncultured bacterium
Lineage: Bacteria
Description: bacterial SSU rRNA
Rfam family: Bacterial small subunit ribosomal RNA
Source: RNAcentral
UUCCAGACUCCUACGGGAGGCAGCAGUGGGGAAUAUUGCACAAUGGGGGAAACCCUGAUGCAGCAACGCCGCGUGGGUGAAGGAGCGUUUCGGCGCGUAAAGCCAUGUCAGCGGGGAAGAAGAAAGACGGUACCCGACCAAGAAGCCCCGGCUAACUACGUGUCAGCAGCCGCGGUAAUACGUAGGGGGCGAGCGUUAUCCGGAAUUACUGGGUGUAAAGGGAGCGUAGACGGCGAGGUAAGCCUGAAGUGGAAGCCCGCGGCCCAACCGCGGAACUGCUUUGGGAACUGCCCCGCUCGAGUGCCGGAGGGGCAGGCGGAAUUCCUAGUGUAGCGGUGAAAUGCGUAGAUAUUAGGAGGAACACCAGUGGCGAAGGCGGCCUGCUGGACGGUGUACUGACGCUGAGGCUCGAAAGCGUGGGGAGCAAACAGGAUUAGAUACCCGGGUAUA